This 667-nucleotide ribosomal RNA is filed under the name uncultured bacterium. Its description in RNAcentral is "bacterial SSU rRNA". It matches the Rfam family "Bacterial small subunit ribosomal RNA", at positions 8 to 691 of the family's 1533-position model. The record is from RNAcentral.
AGAGUUUGAUCAUGGCUCAGGACGAACGCUGGCGGCGUGCUUAACACAUGCAAGUCGAACGAUGAAGCCCUUCGGGGUGGAUUAGUGGCGAACGGGUGAGUAACACGUGGGCAAUCUGCCCUGCACUCUGGGACAAGCCCUGGAAACGGGGUCUAAUACCGGAUACUGAUCGCCUUGGGCAUCCUUGGUGAUCGAAAGCUCCGGCGGUGCAGGAUGAGCCCGCGGCCUAUCAGCUUGUUGGUGAGGUAAUGGCUCACCAAGGCGACGACGGGUAGCCGGCCUGAGAGGGCGACCGGCCACACUGGGACUGAGACACGGCCCAGACUCCUACGGGAGGCAGCAGUGGGGAAUAUUGCACAAUGGGCGAAAGCCUGAUGCAGCGACGCCGCGUGAGGGAUGACGGCCUUCGGGUUGUAAACCUCUUUCAGCAGGGAAGAAGCGAAAGUGACGGUACCUGCAGAAGAAGCGCCGGCUAACUACGUGCCAGCAGCCGCGGUAAUACGUAGGGCGCGAGCGUUGUCCGGAAUUAUUGGGCGUAAAGAGCUCGUAGGCGGCUUGUCGCGUCGGUUGUGAAAGCCCGGGGCUUAACCCCGGGUCUGCAGUCGAUACGGGCAGGCUAGAGUUCGGUAGGGGAGAUCGGAAUUCCUGGUGUAGCGGUGAAAUGCGC